Molecule: transfer RNA, 74 nt
Filed under: Candidatus Omnitrophota bacterium
Lineage: Bacteria; Pseudomonadati; Candidatus Omnitrophota
Also listed under: 1 other name
Description: tRNA-Ile
Rfam family: tRNA
About the family: Transfer RNA (tRNA) molecules are approximately 80 nucleotides in length. Their secondary structure includes four short double-helical elements and three loops (D, anti-codon, and T loops).
Source: RNAcentral
GGGCCCAUAGCUCAGUUGGUUAGAGCACUGUGCUGAUAACGCAGGGGUCAGUGGUUCGAAUCCACUUGGGCCCA